Anopheles gambiae (African malaria mosquito) is the source of this 713-nucleotide long non-coding RNA. RefSeq lists it as uncharacterized. The record is from RefSeq and is a predicted model, not a curated record. The transcript is spliced from 3 exons. NCBI's taxonomy places the organism in Eukaryota, Metazoa, Arthropoda, Insecta, Diptera, Culicidae.
GGUGCUGGCGUUCCGCAUCGGUAUAUCGAACCGGAUGUAGACGAGAUCGUAGUCGUUGUGCAGCGAACGCUUGCGGCGCAGUUUCCGAUGGUUCAGUGUGUGAUCUGGAAUAUGGGGGAAGGAAAGAUAUAUAGGUCACGUAACCAACUUCGCUCACCUGAACCGGGAAAGCGGAAGAGCUGCCGCUGCUCGUACCAACCGUCCUCGGUCGUCCCGGCCAGGGUACGGCGACGGUUGACACGCUCCAAGUACUCUGCAUACUUCGUCUCGUACUCCUGCUGGCUGAUAUCCAUCUGCGGAAGAAGAAGAGGAAGAAGAAGGAGCAGCAGAAUAGUAAGUGUGUGAGGAAUAAAUUACGGACAGCAAAAAUAUGUCUAUAUGUACCCCGGCGGACGAUGGAGAAAGAAGCGAAAGCAAACAGCAGACCGUUACGGCCGUCAUGGCAUUUUUUGAAAAGUCAACGGAGAGGAUAUGAUGGGAAAACCGUCAAACCGCGCGAAAAAAAAGACCUCGACCUCGGCGUGCAAUUCAAAUCUGACCUGCCGAAGCUACCGGGUAAGCGUUUGCCUAUCUUAUUAUUAACUUUGAAUUUGUAAAACUUGACGGUGGACCUUGAACACGGGGUCCGACGAAAUCAUCCAACACCUAUGGCGGUCCAAUAUUUUGUUUACUGCGCCCCGUACACUGACCAUAUGUGUGUGUGUGCGAAUGUG